Molecule: transfer RNA, 71 nt
Filed under: Loxodonta africana (African savanna elephant)
Lineage: Eukaryota; Metazoa; Chordata; Mammalia; Proboscidea; Elephantidae
Rfam family: tRNA
About the family: Transfer RNA (tRNA) molecules are approximately 80 nucleotides in length. Their secondary structure includes four short double-helical elements and three loops (D, anti-codon, and T loops).
Source: Rfam by way of RNAcentral
GCAUUGGUGGCUCAGUAGUAGAAUUCUUGCCUUCCAUGCUGAAGACUUGGGUUCAAUUCCUGGCCAAUGCA